RNAcentral lists this ribosomal RNA (253 nucleotides) under uncultured bacterium. RNAcentral's name for it is "partial 16S ribosomal RNA". It matches the Rfam family "Bacterial small subunit ribosomal RNA", at positions 524 to 776 of the family's 1533-position model. The record is from RNAcentral.
UACGAAGGGGGCGAGCGUUGUUCGGAUUUACUGGGCGUAAAGGGCGCGUAGGCGGCGAUUGAAGUCAGGCGUGAAAGCCCCGGGCUCAACCUGGGAACAGCGCUUGGGACUCGAUUGCUGGAGUUCGGGAGAGGAGCGUGGAAUUCCCAGUGUAGAGGUGAAAUUCGUAGAUAUUGGGAAGAACAGCAGUGGCGAAGGCGGCGCUCUGGACCGAUACUGACGCUGAGGCGCGAAAGCGUGGGGAGCAAACAGG